This 91-nucleotide small nucleolar RNA is filed under the name Brassica napus (rape). Lineage: Eukaryota; Viridiplantae; Streptophyta; Magnoliopsida; Brassicales; Brassicaceae. The record is from RNAcentral.
GAGCAUAUGAUGAUUUUUUUUUUGCACUACAACGGUGCUUCCGAUAAACCAUGCGGAUUAUAUAAAUCGAGCUUUUUAAAACUGAUGCUCC